Molecule: non-coding RNA, 45 nt
Organism: Schistosoma mansoni
Lineage: Eukaryota; Metazoa; Platyhelminthes; Trematoda; Strigeidida; Schistosomatidae
Source: Rfam
AUCCAGCUGAGGAGUCCCAAAUAGGACGAACCGCGCGUCCUGGAU